UCGGGGAUCGUCUAAUGGCAGGACGUCAGACUCUGGAUCUGACUAUCAUGGUUCGAAUCCAUGUCCCCGAACCA
RNAcentral lists this transfer RNA (74 nucleotides) under Kofleriaceae bacterium. RNAcentral's name for it is "tRNA-Gln". It matches the Rfam family "tRNA". Rfam says of the family: Transfer RNA (tRNA) molecules are approximately 80 nucleotides in length. Lineage: Bacteria; Pseudomonadati; Myxococcota; Haliangiales; Kofleriaceae. The record is from RNAcentral. RNAcentral also lists the same sequence under 4 other names.